This is a non-coding RNA of Glossina pallidipes, 194 nucleotides long. NCBI's taxonomy places the organism in Eukaryota, Metazoa, Arthropoda, Insecta, Diptera, Glossinidae. The record is from Rfam.
AAGUCCCACAAUCGCAAGCGUGCUAAUGAAAACUAGCUUCCGGGAAGUAAUACCUCAAGGUGGUCCUUCGGGGGUGAAUGGUAGAAGAAGCGUUUGGGGGGUAGUUUUUAGUACGGAAGCGCCAUGGAUGGUGAAUCGUGCAUGCAGCUACUAAGAACCAGCGAUAUCUCUUGAAGAUUUUCUACCUCCAGCUC